UACGUAGGGGGCAAGCGUUGUCCGGAAUCAUUGGGCGUAAAGAGCGUGUAGGCGGCUUGGUAAGUCCGCUGUGAAAGUCCAGGGUUCAACCCUGGAAAGCCGGUGGAAACUGUCAAGCUUGAGUCCGGAAGAGGCGAGUGGAAUUCCUGGUGUAGCGGUGAAAUGCGCAGAUAUCGGGAAGAACACCCGUGGCGAAGGCGGCUCUCUGGGACGGUACUGACGCUGAGACGCGAAAGCGUGGGGAGCGAACAGG
This 253-nucleotide ribosomal RNA is filed under the name uncultured bacterium. RNAcentral describes it as "partial 16S ribosomal RNA". It matches the Rfam family "Bacterial small subunit ribosomal RNA", at positions 524 to 776 of the family's 1533-position model. The record is from RNAcentral.